AUACUCUGGUUUCUCUUCAAAUCGUAUAAAUCUUUCGCCUUUUACUAAAGAUUUCCGUGGAGAGAAACAAUUCCGAGUCUUAAACUAAUUUUUUGAGGUCUUGCUAUUGCAAGACU
Molecule: small nuclear RNA, 116 nt
Organism: Otolemur garnettii (small-eared galago)
Lineage: Eukaryota; Metazoa; Chordata; Mammalia; Primates; Galagidae
Gene: U5
Rfam family: U5 spliceosomal RNA
About the family: U5 RNA is a component of both types of known spliceosome. The precise function of this molecule is unknown, though it is known that the 5' loop is required for splice site selection and p220 binding, and that both the 3' stem-loop and the Sm site are important for Sm protein binding and cap methylation.
Source: Ensembl